UGGUGCAAAGACUAGGGGCUGUAGCAGCAGUGUCACUUGAUCCAGCAUCCUAGGUGCCUGUGCACUCUUCGUUACCCGUCGAUCGGCUUGGUGUGCUUCUCCUGUUUGUGGGUUGUGUGCCACGCACUUGAUUAAGCACCCCACAUUCUCCUACAGUGCAUCGUUGACCCUGGCUUUAGGUAGCGUUGUGUCCUCGGCUUGCCGUGCAUAAUCCAGGUACGCGUCGACUAUCCGAGCUCCUGCUCACCAUUGGUGUUUGCUCGAGUGUGGGUUCUCGUGUCGCCCAUAAAGGGCACGGGAUGUGGGAUCGAGAUAGUUCACAUAGCAACCCACAACAAGGCAAUGGAUGCCCAUCCAGACUGACAGGGAGCGGAGGUGGACACAAAAAGAUGGAUGUUGACUCCAUAGGAGUCUCCAUAGUACGCUCGUCCGUAAGAGCAGCAGGAGCAAGAAGAUCCUGGAUAUACUUGUCUUAACAAAUAAAGAAGCCUUCGAAGGUAGACUCAGGGAAGUAGCGAUGAGGACCAAGGUCAGAGAUAAGAAACUCACUAUGACGAGCCUUCACAAAGGCAAUGUACUUAAGAGUCGUGCAGUAUCAUGAGCACUCGCUGAAAAAUGAGUUGCAUUAACCAAAGAGACAACGCUCAAACUAGGCAUGACGGGUUUGCUUAAGACCAUAUAGAGAACGCCGAAGAUGACAAACCAUGACUGCUGGAAAAGAAUACCCAAGUGGUGGGUACGUGUAGGCAUUGUUGACAUCAAGGGUAGAGAGAGAGAUACUAUGUUGGCAAACUGAAGCCACAUCGAAAGUGUGCCAAAAGGGCUCAUCUGGGCCAUACAGGAGCAAAUGUCUCAUCGUAGUCAUGACUAUAUGUUCUCACCACUAGACGAGCUUUGUAAAGCUCUAGAGAAACAUCAUAGUCUCACCCUUGUGGGCCUAGUUACAGUGAUGAGACGAGCAAGAGGAGGAAGGGAAAUGAGAGUCGACUAGCCGACGAGGUGAAGAGCAUUUGAUGCCAUCACAUGCUGCCAUUGUGGAUGAAAAAAAUGUCAUGAUAAGAAGUCUUCUUGUGAAGAGCACCGCAAUAACUAACCAUAGCAGUCAAUAGGCAGAAGCGGGCGAGCUCGAAAGCCAUAAGUAGGCUGAUCUGGAGCUAUGUGUUGCCAACAGAAGAAGACAUAUUAGUCGAGGGAGAUGACUCAUUAGAAGAAUCCACAACACGCGAACAGUGAGUGUACAAAAGUCAAGGAAGACGAGCAAAAGAAGGAACAUGAAAAGAGAAACUGCCAAGAGAGCCUCGACUAUCGACUGGCAGGGAAGUUACCAGGAUAAGAGAACUGAGCAAGAGCACCCUGCUCAACAAGGAUUGAAUGCAACAUCUUGGAGGUUUAUUCUCCAGAAGAGUCAUCACGGAAUACAAGAAUAGGCGUAGAGAACUUGGUGUGAACCAUGGCAGCAAAACGCUUACACAGAUAAGACCUCACUACGAAAGGAGAUAACGUAUAUCCAGGUGUGUUGAGAGAAGUCAUCUAUAAAUAUAGUACUAGCGAUGACCUCCUUUCGAGGCGGAAGGAGGUGGACCCCAGACAUCAAAGUGAACAAGGUUGAAAGGGUUGUUGAGACAUCAAAGUAAACAAGGUUGAAAGGGUUGUUGAGACACUGUCUCGCUAUGAGCAUAAGGUAACUAUAGCUGUUUACCAAGCCGAGAACCCAGACAGUUUAGAGACAUCGUCGGAGACCGAUCCAAGAAGACCAUGUCAAACUAAGGAUGCGAGAUGAGAGCCACACAAGUGACCCCAGGCGACGAUGGCACUUCUAAGCAUAACUGGUAGACAAGGUAACAGAGGUGGAGAGACUAGCGGCUGUAGCAGCAGAGUCACGUGAUCCAGCAUCCUACGUGCAUGUGCGCUCUCCGUUACCCGCCGAUCCGGCUUGGUGUGCUUCUCGUGUUUGCGGGUUGUGUGCCACACUUGAUUAAGCACCCCACGUUCUCCUACAGUGCGCCCUUGACCCUGGCUUUAGGUAGCGCCGUGUCCUCGGCUUGCCGUGCAUAAUCCAGGUAUGCGCCAACUCUCCGAGCUCCUGCUCACCAUUGGUGUUGCUCGAGCGUGGGUUCUGGUGUCGCGCAUAAAGGGAACACGGGAUGUGUGAUUGUGACAGUUCACAUAGCAACCCGCGGCAAGGCAAAGGAUGCCCAUCCAACUGGCAGGGAGCGGAGGUGGACCCAAAAAGGUGGAUGUUGACUCCAUAGGAGUCUCAACAAUGUGCUUGUCAGUAAGAGGAGCAAGAAGAUCCUAGAUAUACUUCUCUUAGCAAAUAAAGAAGCCAUCAAAGGUAGACUCAGGGAAGUAGCGAUGAGGACCAAGGUCAGACAUAAGAAACUCACUGUGACGAGCCUUCACAAAGGCAAUGUACUUAAGAGUCGUGCAUGGUCAUGAGCACCCGUUGAAAAACGAGCCUUAUUAACCACAGAGACAACGCUCAAACCAGUCAUGAGGGGUUUGCUAAAGAUCAUAUAGAGAACGCCGAAGGCGAUAAACCAUGCCGACUGGAAAAGAAUACCCAAGUGGUGGCUACAUGUAGGCAUUGUUGACAUCAAGCUGAGAGAUAGAUAGAUAGAUAGAUAGAGAGAGAGAGCGAGCCUAUGUUGGCAAACAGAAGCACAUCGAAAAGUGUGCCAAAAGUGGUCAUCUGGGCCAUACAGGAGCAAAUGUCUCAUCGUAGUCAUGACUAUAUGUUCUCACCACUAGACGAGCUUUAUAAAGCUCUAGAGAAAUAUCAUAGUCUCACCCUUGUGGGCCUAGUUACAGUGAUGAGACGAGCAAGAGGAGGAAGGGAAAUGAGAUUCCACUAGCCGACGAGGUGAAGAGCAUUAUUGCGGUGGUCUUCUUGUGAAGAGCACCGCAAUAACUAACCAUAGCAGUCAAUAGGCAGAAGCGGACGAGCUCGAAAGCCAUAAGUAGGCUGAUCUGGAGCUAUGUGUUGCCAACAGAAGAAGACAUAGUAGUUGAGGGAGAUGACUCAUUAGAAGAAUCCACAACACGCGAACAAUGAGUGUAGUAAAGUCAAGGAAGAUGAGCAAAAGAAGGAACAUGCAAGACAAACUGCCAAGAGUGCCUCGACUAUCGACUGGCAGGGAAGUUACAUUGACAGUAAAAACAUGAACAUGAGAAUCUAGAUGUGGAAUACCCAAGUGGUGGCUGCACGUAAAACCCCUCACAAAAUUCACCAUUAAAAAAGACAUUCUUAACAUCAAGCCGAGACGAAGUGACGAAUAAAGGCCGCAACAAGAUGUGUGUGAACAAUUGUCGUAUGGCCCGCAUGAGCAAAAACUCUCAUCGUAAUUAGGACCAUGAUUCUACUGAAAGCCACGAGCCACAAGACGAGAUUUGUAAUGUUCAAGAGAACCAUCAGAGCGAGUCUUAACCUUGUAGACGCACCAAGUAAUGGGACGAACACGAGGAGGAAGGGACAUAAUAUCCGAUGUGCUGAUGUGCUCAACAGUAGCAAUAUCCUCUACCAUGGCAAGGCGCCAUUUGGUAUGAAUAACAUCAAGAUAAGAAGUCUGCUCAAGAAAGUAGCGCCAACGUUUCAUAGCCUAAGGCGGUCAACAGGCAAAAGUGUACGAGGUCGCAAGCCAUAAGAAGGCCGAGACGGAGAAAAUGUCACAUCAGUAGAUGCAUCCACAACACACGAACGACGUGUUUAAAAGUGAGGCAAAUGUGGAAGAAUACGAGCAAUAAUCCUCGAGAUAAGCUUAGGUUAUGGGGACAAGGAAGUCACCGGUGAUGAAGGUUUAGAAUCCCGUGAUAAGCGAAGCGAGGAAAUCAUAGGAGAUGAUGGUGCUGAAUCUGUAAUAAUUGGAGAAGCAGGAGCAGUACGAGGAAUGGAAUAGGGCUCAACGAUAGUGAUAGGAAUGUCGGGAAAAGUGAGAUAACACAUCCUCCACUAAAAAGGUCGGGGAUGAUGGCCACACGCAGCAGGGACGAGACUCACUAAAACUCAUACCGUGAGAAAUAGUCACCCGAUGACCAACCUGAUCCCAACAACAAUAUCUCUUAUGGUCAUUGUUGUAUCCUAUGAACACUCAACAUACUAAGUAGUAAGUUUGGUACAUUGACGAGAGGCAGUAAGGGCACAUCAAACACAACCAAACAAUUGAAGCGCUGAAUAAUCUGGAAACGAUCAAAUAGACUCUCGAAAGGAGAUGACCAUGGUGGAAGUGGAGACAAAUUCAACCCAAAAGUGUGGCGUAAGAGAGGCAGUGACCAUCCAAAAGUGUGGCGGAAGAGAGAGCAGUGACAUUGAACCUAUGAGCCGUCUCAAUAGUUGACGAUGCUUGCCCUCAGCCAUGCCAUUUUUGAGCAUGAGCACCAGGAUAAGAGAACUUAGCAAUGGCACCCUGCUCAACAAGGAUUGAGCGCAACAUCUUGGAGAUUUAUUCUCCACCGAGUCAUCACAGAAUACAAGAAUAGGCGUAGAGAGAUACUAUGUUGGCAAACAGAAGCCACAUCGAAAAGUGUGCCAAAAGUGGUCAUCCGGGGCCAUACAGGAGCAAAUGUCUCAUCGUAGUCAUGACUAUGUUCUCACCACUAGAUGAGCUUUGGAAAGCUCUAGAGAAACAUCAUAGCCUCACCCUUUGAUGUCAUCACAUGCUGCCAUUAUGGAUGAAAAAACGUCAUGAUAAGAAGUCGUCUUGCGAAGAGCACCACAAUAACUAACCAUAGCAGGUGAGCUCGAAAGCCAUAAGUAGGCUGAUCUGGAGCUAUGUGUUGCCAACAGAAGAAUACAUAGUAAUCGAGGGAGUUGACUCAUUAGAAGAAUCCACAACACGCGAACAGUGAGUGUAGUAAAGUCAAGGAAGACGAGCAAAAGAUGGAACAUGAAAAGAGAAACUGCCAAGAGUGCCUCGACUAUCGACAGGUAGGGAAGUUACCAGGAUAAGAGAACUGAGCAAGAGCACCGUGCUCAACAAGGAUUGAAUGCAACAUCUUGGAGAUUUAUUCUCCACCAGAGUCAUCACGGAAUACAAGAAUAGGCGUAGGGAACUUGUUCGUGUGCCUUGGCGUCAAAACGCUUACACAUAUAAGACCUCACUACGAAAGGAAAUAAAGUAUAUCCAGGUGUGUUGAGAGAAGUCAUCUAUAAAUAUAGUACUAGCGAUGACCUCCUUUCGAGGCGAAAGGAGGUGGGCCCCAGACAUUAGAGUGAACAAGGUUGAAAGGGUUGUUGAGACACUGUCUCGCUAUGAGCAUAAGGUAAGUAUAGCUGUUUACCAAGCCGACAACCCAGACAGUUUAGAGACAUCAUCCGAGACUGAUCCAAGAAGACCAUGUCAAACUAAGGAUGCGAGAUGAGAGCCACACAAGUGACCCCAGGCGACGAUGGCACUUCUAAGCAUAAAUGGUAGACAAGGUAACAGAGGUGGAGAGACUAGCGGCUGUAGCAGCAGAGUCACUUGAUCCAGCAUCCUACGUGCCUGUGCGCUCUCCGUUACCCGCCGAUCCGGCUUGGUGUGCUUCUCCUGUUUGCGGGUUGUGUGCCAGCACUUGAUUAAGCACCCCACGUUCUCCUACAGUGCGCCCUUGACCCUGGCUUUAGGUAGCGCCUUGUCCUCGGCUUGCCGUGCAUAAUCCAGGUAUGCGCCAACUGUCCGAGCUCCUGCUCACCAUUGGUGUUGCUCGAGCGUGGGUUCUGGUGUCGCCCAUAAAGGGAACACGGGAUGUGGGAUUGAGACAGUUCACAUAGCAACCCACAGCAAGGCAAAGGAUGCCCAUCCAACUGGCAGGGAGCGGAGGUGGACCCAAAAAGGUGGAUGUUGACUCGAAGGAGUCUCAACAGUACGCUUGUCAGUAAGAGGAGCAAGAAGAUCCUGGAUAUACUUCUCUUAGCAAAUAAAGAAGCCAUCAAAGGUAGACUCAGGGAAGUAGCGACGAGGACCAAGGUCAGACAUAAGAAACUCACUGUGACGAGCCUUCACAAAGGCAAUGUACUUAAGAGUCGUGCAGGAUCAUGAGCACCCGUUGAAAAACGAGCCUUAUUAACCACAGAGACAACACUCAAACCAGUCAUGAGGGGUUUGCUAAAGAGCAUAUAGAGAACGCCGAAGGCGACAAACCAUGCCGGCUGGAAAAGAAUACCCAAGUGGUGGUUACAUGUAGGAUUGUUGACAUCAAGCAGAGAGAGAGAGAGAGAGAGAUAGAUAGAGAGAGAGCCUAUGUUGGCAAACAGAAGCACAUCGAAAAGUGUGCCAACAGUGGUCAUCUGGGCCAUACAGGAGCAAAUGUCUCAUCGUAGUCAUGACUGUAUGUUCUCACCAGUAGACGAGCUUUGUAAAGCUCUAGAGAAACAUCAUAGUCUCACCCUUGUGGGUCUAGUUACAAGUAAUGAGACGAGCAAGAGGAGGAAGGGAAAUGAGAUUCCACUAGCCGACAAGGUGAAGAGCAUUUGAUGCCAUCACAUGCUGCCAUUGUGGAUGAAAAAAAUGUCAUGAUAAGAAGUCUUCUUGUGAAGACCACCGCAAUAACUAACCAUAGCAGUCAAUAGGCAGAAGCGGGCGAGCUCGAAAGCCAUAAGUAGGCUGAUCUGGAGCUAUGUGUUGCCAACAGAAGAAGACAUAGUAGUUGUGGGAGAUGACUCAUUAUAAGAAUCAACAACACGCGAACAAUGAGUGUAGUAAAGUCAAGGAAGAUGAGCAAAAGAAGGAACAUGCAAGACAAACUGCCAAGAGUGCCUCGACUAUCGACUGGCAGGGAAGUUACAUUGACAGUAAAAACAUGAACAUGAGAAUCUAGAUGUGGAAUACCCAAGUGGUGGCUGCACGUAAAACCCCUGACAAAAUUCACCAUUAAAAAAGUCUUUGUUAACAUCAAGCCGAGACGGAGUGACGAAUAAAGGCCGCAACAAGAUGUGUGUGAACAAUUGUCGUAUGGCCCGCAUAAGCUGAAACUCUCAUCGUAAUUAGGACCAUGAUUCUACUGAAAGCCACGAGCCACAAGACGAGCUUUGUAAUGUUCAAGAGAACCAUCAGAACUAGUCUUAACCUUGUAGACGCAUCA
Molecule: long non-coding RNA, 7059 nt
Filed under: Hordeum vulgare
Lineage: Eukaryota; Viridiplantae; Streptophyta; Magnoliopsida; Poales; Poaceae
Description: long non-coding RNA (HVUL_LNC007059)
Source: RNAcentral